GCCUUGCUGGCGCAAUGGUAGCGCGCCAGACUUCUAAUCUGGAGGUUGCGGGUUCGAGUCCCGCGUGAGGUG
This 72-nucleotide transfer RNA is filed under the name Baudoinia panamericana UAMH 10762. RNAcentral describes it as "tRNA-Arg (TCT) (tRNA-Arg-TCT-1-1)". It matches the Rfam family "tRNA". From Rfam's summary of the family: Transfer RNA (tRNA) molecules are approximately 80 nucleotides in length. Their secondary structure includes four short double-helical elements and three loops (D, anti-codon, and T loops). Further hydrogen bonds mediate the characteristic L-shaped molecular structure. tRNAs have two regions of fundamental functional importance: the anti-codon, which is responsible for specific mRNA codon recognition, and the 3' end, to which the tRNAs corresponding amino acid is attached (by aminoacyl-tRNA synthetases). tRNAs cope with the degeneracy of the genetic code in two manners: having more than one tRNA (with a specific anti-codon) for a particular amino acid; and 'wobble' base-pairing, i.e. permitting non-standard base-pairing at the 3rd anti-codon position. Lineage: Eukaryota; Fungi; Ascomycota; Dothideomycetes; Mycosphaerellales; Teratosphaeriaceae. The record is from RNAcentral.